Molecule: ribosomal RNA, 2510 nt
Filed under: Staphylococcus aureus
Lineage: Bacteria; Bacillati; Bacillota; Bacilli; Caryophanales; Staphylococcaceae
Description: bacterial LSU rRNA
Rfam family: Bacterial large subunit ribosomal RNA
Source: RNAcentral
UGGAUCCUGAGUACGACGGAGCACGUGAAAUUCCGUCGGAAUCUGGGAGGACCAUCUCCUAAGGCUAAAUACUCUAGUGACCGAUAGUGAACCAGUUGAGGGAAAGGUGAAAAGCACCCCGGAAGGGGAGUGAAAUAGAACCUGAAACCGUGUGCUUACAAGUAGUCAGAGCCCGUUAAUGGGGAUGGCGUGCCUUUUGUAGAAUGAACCGGCGAGUUACGAUUUGAUGCAAGGUUAAGCAGUAAAUGUGGAGCCGUAGCGAAAGCGAGUCUGAAUAGGGCGUUUAGUAUUUGGUCGUAGACCCGAAACCAGGUGAUCUACCCUUGGUCAGGUUGAAGUUCAGGUAACACUGAAUGGAGGACCGAACCGACUUACGUUGAAAAGUGAGCGGAUGAACUGAGGGUAGCGGAGAAAUUCCAAUCGAACCUGGAGAUAGCUGGUUCUCUCCGAAAUAGCUUUAGGGCUAGCCUCAAGUGAUGAUUAUUGGAGGUAGAGCACUGUUUGGACGAGGGGCCCCUCUCGGGUUACCGAAUUCAGACAAACUCCGAAUGCCAAUUAAUUUAACUUGGGAGUCAGAACAUGGGUGAUAAGGUCCGUGUUCGAAAGGGAAACAGCCCAGACCACCAGCUAAGGUCCCAAAAUAUAUGUUAAGUGGAAAAGGAUGUGGCGUUGCCCAGACAACUAGGAUGUUGGCUUAGAAGCAGCCAUCAUUUAAAGAGUGCGUAAUAGCUCACUAGUCGAGUGACACUGCGCCGAAAAUGUACCGGGGCUAAACAUAUUACCGAAGCUGUGGAUUGUCCUUUGGACAAUGGUAGGAGAGCGUUCUAAGGGCGUUGAAGCAUGAUCGUAAGGACAUGUGGAGCGCUUAGAAGUGAGAAUGCCGGUGUGAGUAGCGAAAGACGGGUGAGAAUCCCGUCCACCGAUUGACUAAGGUUUCCAGAGGAAGGCUCGUCCGCUCUGGGUUAGUCGGGUCCUAAGCUGAGGCCGACAGGCGUAGGCGAUGGAUAACAGGUUGAUAUUCCUGUACCACCUAUAAUCGUUUUAAUCGAUGGGGGGACGCAGUAGGAUAGGCGAAGCGUGCGAUUGGAUUGCACGUCUAAGCAGUAAGGCUGAGUAUUAGGCAAAUCCGGUACUCGUUAAGGCUGAGCUGUGAUGGGGAGAAGACAUUGUGUCUUCGAGUCGUUGAUUUCACACUGCGAGAAAAGCCUCUAGAUAGAAAAUAGGUGCCCGUACCGCAAACCGACACAGGUAGUCAAGAUGAGAAUUCUAAGGUGAGCGAGCGAACUCUCGUUAAGGAACUCGGCAAAAUGACCCCGUAACUUCGGGAGAAGGGGUGCUCUUUAGGGUUAACGCCCAGAAGAGCCGCAGUGAAUAGGCCCAAGCGACUGUUUAUCAAAAACACAGGUCUCUGCUAAACCGUAAGGUGAUGUAUAGGGGCUGACGCCUGCCCGGUGCUGGAAGGUUAAGAGGAGUGGUUAGCUUCUGCGAAGCUACGAAUCGAAGCCCCAGUAAACGGCGGCCGUAACUAUAACGGUCCUAAGGUAGCGAAAUUCCUUGUCGGGUAAGUUCCGACCCGCACGAAAGGCGUAACGAUUUGGGCACUGUCUCAACGAGAGACUCGGUGAAAUCAUAGUACCUGUGAAGAUGCAGGUUGCCCGCGACAGGACGGAAAGACCCCGUGGAGCUUUACUGUAGCCUGAUAUUGAAAUUCGGCACAGCUUGUACAGGAUAGGUAGGAGCCUUUGAAACGUGAGCGCUAGCUUACGUGGAGGCGCUGGUGGGAUACUACCCUAGCUGUGUUGGCUUUCUAACCCGCACCACUUAUCGUGGUGGGAGACAGUGUCAGGCGGGCAGUUUGACUGGGGCGGUCGCCUCCUAAAAGGUAACGGAGGCGCUCAAAGGUUCCCUCAGAAUGGUUGGAAAUCAUUCAUAGAGUGUAAAGGCAUAAGGGAGCUUGACUGCGAGACCUACAAGUCGAGCAGGGUCGAAAGACGGACUUAGUGAUCCGGUGGUUCCGCAUGGAAGGGCCAUCGCUCAACGGAUAAAAGCUACCCCGGGGAUAACAGGCUUAUCUCCCCCAAGAGUUCACAUCGACGGGGAGGUUUGGCACCUCGAUGUCGGCUCAUCGCAUCCUGGGGCUGUAGUCGGUCCCAAGGGUUGGGCUGUUCGCCCAUUAAAGCGGUACGCGAGCUGGGUUCAGAACGUCGUGAGACAGUUCGGUCCCUAUCCGUCGUGGGCGUAGGAAAUUUGAGAGGAGCUGUCCUUAGUACGAGAGGACCGGGAUGGACAUACCUCUGGUGUACCAGUUGUCGUGCCAACGGCAUAGCUGGGUAGCUAUGUGUGGACGGGAUAAGUGCUGAAAGCAUCUAAGCAUGAAGCCCCCCUCAAGAUGAGAUUUCCCAACUUCGGUUAUAAGAUCCCUCAAAGAUGAUGAGGUUAAUAGGUUCGAGGUGGAAGCAUGGUGACAUGUGGAGCUGACGAAUACUAAUCGAUCGAAGACUUAAUCAAAA